AUGAUAUAACAAAUCAGCCAAAACCUCAGUGACUCAUGAUAACAAGCAUCUUAUUCACUCUUUCAGGAAACUGCAAGUUGGUUGAGAUAUUUUUGCUUCACUCUGCAGGAUUCAGUUUGUGGAUCACAAGUAAAUCAGCUCCUUCCUUCCUAUACAUUCCUCACUUCCAUCCUGUAAAGUGCUUUGAACUGACUGCACCAUAGACUACAUCAUAGUCAAGCCAUGGUGACCCCUGUGAUGUACACAUACACCUCCAG
This 257-nucleotide long non-coding RNA is filed under the name Aotus nancymaae (Ma's night monkey). RNAcentral describes it as "lncRNA (ENSANAG00000038903.1)". The record is from RNAcentral. Lineage: Eukaryota; Metazoa; Chordata; Mammalia; Primates; Aotidae.